RNAcentral lists this small RNA (210 nucleotides) under Staphylococcus aureus. RNAcentral describes it as "HMPRNC0000_2305". Lineage: Bacteria; Bacillati; Bacillota; Bacilli; Caryophanales; Staphylococcaceae. The record is from RNAcentral.
AAGUGCUGAUGCUGAGCUUAAUGAAAUCCAGAUAAUCAUAAUUGGUGAAAUGACCAUCAUCAUGUAACCCAUUUGACGUUGUUCGUCUGGCAUCGUUUUACUUGAUACAUAUGCUUGGAUAAAGUAUAAAACACCGGCAAUAAUUGUAAUCCAAAUAUCAGGACGUCCUAAAUCGAACCAUAAGAAGUGUGGAUAUUUAAACAAACCAUC